UCGAGAAUCUUCGGCAAUGGGCGCAAGCCUGACCGAGCGACGCCGCGUGGAGGACGAAGGCCCUCGGGUUGUAAACUCCUGUCGAGGGGGAGGAAGGCGGGCGACCGCUUGACCGAUCCCUGGAGGAAGCACGGGCUAAGUUCGUGCCAGCAGCCGCGGUAAGACGAACCGUGCGAACGUUAUUCGGAAUCACUGGGCUUAAAGCGCGUGUAGGCGGGCCGGCCCGUCGGUCGCUGAAAUCCCCCGGCUCAACCGGGGAACCGGCGCCGAGACGACCGGCCUGGAGGGACGUAGGGGGGCCUGGAACUUCCGGUGGAGCGGUGAAAUGCGUUGAGAUCGGAAGGAACGCCCGUGGCGAAAGCGAGGCCCUGGACGUCUGCUGACGCUGAGACGCGAAAGCCAGGGGAGCGAACGGGAUUAGAUACCCCUGUAGUCC
This 436-nucleotide ribosomal RNA is filed under the name uncultured bacterium. RNAcentral's name for it is "bacterial SSU rRNA". It matches the Rfam family "Bacterial small subunit ribosomal RNA", at positions 355 to 796 of the family's 1533-position model. The record is from RNAcentral.